RNAcentral lists this long non-coding RNA (1668 nucleotides) under Junco hyemalis (dark-eyed junco). RNAcentral's name for it is "lncRNA (ENSJHYG00000004810.1)". The record is from RNAcentral. Lineage: Eukaryota; Metazoa; Chordata; Aves; Passeriformes; Passerellidae.
ACAAUACACAAUAAAUAUAAUCUAGUGUAAUAUAAUAUGAUAUAAUAUAGAUCAUAUAGUAAAAUAUAAUAAAAUAAUAAAUUAGCCUUCUGAAAACAUGGAAUCAAAUUCAUCCUUCCUUCCUGCCACAAAAAUCCCAACAAAUACAACAGCCCAGUGCAUACAGAGGCUGGGGCCAGGCUGUCUGGGCAGCUGGGCAAGGCUGUGAGUGCUGUUUCCUCCUCCUGAGGGUGGAUCCAGCUCCUUGCUGCUCUCCAUGGAGUGUGGAGCUCCUGAGCACUCAGUCCUUGCCAUGGCAGCUCCUCUCUUCCAGCAAGGCAGGGAGUGGCAGGACAGAUCACACCUGGUGCUGGGAAUGGCCAGGUAGGUGCCUCCUGGCCAGUCUGACCUGUCCCUUUGGCAAGCUCUGAGGGAGGAUCUUUGGGGGGAAAUGGUUGAUCUUGUGAAAUAUGCCACGGGCUCUCUUGUUCCUGGGUCACACAACCCAUCAUUCAGCUGAAGGAAGCAGCUGCCUCCCUCACAGCAAAGAUAAUGGACAGCCAGUGCCCAGAGGGGUGUUUGAAGUCCUAAUUAAGGCCCAGAUCUGCAGGUGCAGCUUCCUGGAAGAGUGCUGGGAUUAGUGCAGAAACAAGGAUGCUCCCUUCUUUUAUCACCCCAAACCAGGGCAGCUCUACACAGCAGAGAUGGGAAGGGAGCAGGAGCUGCAGGGAAGGGAGCAGGAGCUGCAGGGAAGGGAUGUGGAUGGGACAUGCCAUGCUAUGACUCAGCUCCCACAGGCACUGCUUUUGAGAGGAAAACAGGUGGAUGCAAGGGGAUCCCAGCCUGGUGAGAAGUCAGCAGUCACAGACAGCCCUGCUCCAAAGUCCAGCACUGCCUCCUCCUCUGCCCUGGGCACCAAGGAUCAGCCUGGCUCAUUUUCUGUCUGUGUUUGGGGACUGGGGAAGGGCCUGGGGACUGCUGAGCCUUUGGCUGGGGCUGGCCAUGGACGUCUGUCAAUGUCACAUGAGCCUUCUGGAGACAGAUGGCAUUUUACUGCCUGGCUGGAAAUCUCCCCUUUCCUUUCUUUUCUUUCCUCCCCUCCCUUUUUUCUUUUUUUUUUUUUUCUUUUUUCUUUUUUUCUUUUUUUUCUUUUUGUUUUGGGAUGCCAUUUUUAUGCUUAAAAGGAGCUGAGAGGAAGCCUGAGAGUGAGGAGAAAGGCUGCUUGCCUGUUGAGCUGCUCUCUGAUGCUGGCAGAGGUCAUCUCAGCAUGGUUUGGGUUUCUGCUGCCUGGCCAUUGCCACAGCCUUUGCAACGUUUCUUCUGCCCUGGGAAUCACUUCUGACUCCUGGCAAGGAAAAAUCCCAAAGGUAUUUGGGAUUCCCUGGAGUUUUUGUAAAGUUUCCUGCUCAGUAAGAAAAUUUUGGGGUGAAGUCAGAGUUUCUUCACACUCUGCUGUCGUGGUGUGGCUGGCACCUGCACAGGGCACUGCCCAGCUCUGGGGCAGGGGGCUCAGGCUGCACCCCUGGCAUGGGGCUGUUCCUGCAGCCUGGGCAAGAGGUUAAUGGGCAGCAGCUGGCCUCAGGUUCCUCUUGCUCCUCUUCUCCUCCCUCCUGUCCCCCUGAUUCGAGUGGGAGAGGGAUCUCUGAGCAGCUGGACCUGGUGCUCUCACCCCACAGGGCCCAUGUCGCA